GAUGAGUGAAAAGCCCUUCGUCGGAUUGAUUCGGGUUUUAAUCGGUCAGAGGAAAUUGAGAGAGAGUGAGAGAGAAUAUUAUAUGCAUUCUUCAUCAUCCCCCACCUCCUCUUCUGCUAUCAUUUCCAUCUCCUCAUCCUCUUCUUCUUCCUUCACUUCCUGCAGCGAACAAAUUGCCCUGUCUCGUCUCCGUUAGAGGAUUCUCUUGUGAGCAGAAGGUCAUUUUGGUGCGCCUCUACAUGAGGCAUACAAUGUAGCUCUGUAUCAUCCCCUCAUAUAGUAUAGAGAAGGCAGACAGGAUGGGGCCAGGCACUAUCUUUUUCUUAGAUUCUAUACAAACAACAAAAACCCCUCAACACCUUACCUUCAAUUCCCUGUUCUUUCCAUUAUUUUCCUAGUACUUUCUCACCCUACUUUAUCAUCAGAAGAAAAAAGAAAGGCGAAGAAGAAGAAGCAGGAGAGUCCUCAUGGAGCAUUGAUGGUGUCGUUCUUGGCGAUCUUCGUCGUCGGGGGAAAUACUGUAAUGGGUAUCAUCCAAUGUGUACGUAUUUGUGUAUAUACGGAAUGAUGGAUGUAUGAUCAUAUGACAUUAGUUCGUUGGUGAUGAAUUGUAAUUUUCAUUGUUCCUCUUCUAUAAUGUGACUUUGCUUCUUCGAUUGAUUUUCUUUCUCUUCACCUUUCUAUAGUUCAAAUAUUUUUUAUGUGUAUGAAAUGGGUGGUGGGUAGGAAAUCCCUGGGUGUUUUUCGACCUAAGCCACUCUCUUUUCCCUCUUUUCUCGUUCCUUUUGGUGAUAAAAGUAAUUACAUCUGAACAUUCAUACAUCUUAACCGUCAAAUAAGAGAAAGAAGAGGAAAUCCAAUAUAAAAAGUCCACAAUCUUUGUUUUUUUUUUUUUUUUUUACCUGCAUUAGAGGAGGAGAUUCGAUUUCUUGAUGGCUUCAAACUUUUAUCUUGGUUUGGGUAACUAUAGCAUAUUAUGUGUUUGAUGAUUUUUCCCUUUGAUGUUUUAAGUUUAAUGACGUACUUUAGGACUACUUGUGGGGUUCUGCAUUUGAAGUCUCUCUCAUUGACGGGUAAUGGGCGAUAGCUGUUACUGAAAAGGAGUAUUGGACUAAUUUUUACUUGGUGUGUUUCUAUCUUCUGAGUUCUGAUUCUAGGACUUAUAUUGCUGUGCAAGCUAAGCUUGCAAUGGGGGCUGAAGCUAUUCGAGAUGGCUAUCUUGUGGCUCGCCGCUUUCAUAUUCCUUGCUUGAAGAAUUGUUCGGACUCUAUGUGUGUUAUCUCUGCUCUUGGUCACUCAACCUGCUCCUUGGAUUGGGCGACGCAACUAUUGUGGAUGAUCUUUCAUUUUCGCCUGUUGUUUUCAAUUUACUCUUGUAUGUUCCUUGACAUUCUCGGGGUAAGGCUGCAUAGUUCUUGACUCCUAGACUUAAGGCUGCAUAGUUCUUGACUCCUAGACUUUGCACAUGCGGGAGUCUCGUGCACCAGGUAAUGUUUACCCCAAGUGUCGAUUAGUGUCGAUGUAGCGCCUUCGCUCCAACAGUCCUCGCAAUUGUUGAAGGUUUUGGUUGUCGGACGACGACUAUGAUUUUGGGUGGUAUUCAUUUUCCUCUUCAUAUUCCAUCGCCGGUAGAGAAUUGGAUUUCUCAGAGAAAGCCAGAGAGAGAGAUAUUAUUACGGUGAAGGCUUAAGGGUUUACCUUUGUCGAUGGUGAGGACUGAGGAGGGGUUUUUGGAGGCUGCAAAGAGGUAUCUCAGGGCUAGAGAGGUUCACGAACUGUUGGUGAACCGCCUUGCAGUCCUUGAGCCCCCUUCCGAAGCAGAGGCAUUUGGUGUUUAGGUCUAAAGGAACCCCUGACUUAUCAGCAGAAGCCCAAACGCCAACAAUCCGUAAAUCAUUGUCGCAUCAGUGUCGUACACAGAAUGUCCGCUCGUCGUACUCAUCCGGCAUCGCUUGACUCUUCGUCAGAGGAAGAAUGAAGAGAAUCACACAAUCAAAGGGGGGAGGGGAAAAGAAGUUAGAAGCAUACUGUCUUCUUUGGAGAUUCUGUUGUUUCGAUGGUGGAGGUUAUGGAAGAAAGGAGGAUGAGGCUCGGAGUGAAAGGGGAAGGAGGAAGAUGGCCCUCGGUGGUGGAUGAGGAUUCAUGUUUCAGCUGCUACUAUCUUCCAUGGCUUUUUCUUUCAACUGAUGUUUUGGGUUUGAUGGAUUUUUAUUGGGUUUUUAACAAUUAUGGUGAACCAAAGUCGUUUCUAGAAACGACGAAACAAGUCAUACUUGU
Molecule: long non-coding RNA, 2277 nt
Organism: Macadamia integrifolia
Lineage: Eukaryota; Viridiplantae; Streptophyta; Magnoliopsida; Proteales; Proteaceae
Exons: 3
Source: RefSeq, a predicted model, not a curated record